GGUCAUCUGGGCUACAACUGACGCUAAUGCACGAAAGCGUGGGGAGCAAACAGGAUUAGAUACCCUGGUAGUCCACGCCGUAAACGAUGAGUGCUAGAUAUCGGAAGAUUCUCUUUCGGUUUCGCAGCUAACGCAUUAAGCACUCCGCCUGGAGAGUACGGUCGCAAGAUUAAAACUCAAAGGAAUUGACGGGGGCUCGCACAAGCGGUGGAGCAUGCGGUUUAAUUCGAUGUUACGCGAAAAACCUUACCAACCCUUGACAUGGUGGUCGCGGAUCGCAGAGAUGCUUUCCUUCAGCUCGGCUGGACCACACACAGGUGUUGCACGGCUGUCGUCAGCUCGUGUCGUGAGAUGUUGGGUUAAGUCCCGCAACGAGCGCAACCCUCAUUCUUAUUUGCCAGCGGGUAAUGCCGGGAACUAUAAGAAAACUGCUGGUGAUAAGCCA
This 445-nucleotide ribosomal RNA is filed under the name Rickettsia endosymbiont of Ixodes pacificus. RNAcentral describes it as "bacterial SSU rRNA". It matches the Rfam family "Bacterial small subunit ribosomal RNA", at positions 723 to 1165 of the family's 1533-position model. The record is from RNAcentral. Lineage: Bacteria; Pseudomonadati; Pseudomonadota; Alphaproteobacteria; Rickettsiales; Rickettsiaceae.